UGAGCAGACGUGGCGUCGAGACUUUUGCCGUUGUAAUAAAAGAAAAUACGAGAUUGCAAAAUAUGAUAUACAAAGCUCGGCUAUACCAACAGGUUAAGCAAUAAACUGUACAAUAGUGAGACAGUUCAUAAAAGAAGUUUUGAGGACACUCUAUCUGUAGAUUAUAAAGCUCGUGCCAGAAAAACGUUUAGCUUAGCCUAGCCUAGCCUACGUUUGGAAACAAGAAACAGCUGUUCUGACUCUGUCAAGAGAAUACCCCAUUUCCUCUGCUGUCUUCAAAAGAAGAGGACACUGUUGCUCCAAAAACUAACACCAGACCCCUGCAGCCAUGUUGGGAUCAACAGGCCUCGGUCUCCUGCUCAGUCGUAAUGUUUUGAGGAGGGGAGCCAAGCAUCAACAUCACAUUACCAGACGCAGACACAGAGAACAUGCAGAAAAUGCAUAUCAUCGUGUCGAUGGGAGUCAUUAGAAGGGUCGGGCUCUCCUCUCAACUGAUGAGGAGCGGCUGCAGCAGGAGGGACCAGGGGAUCAGGGGGAGGACAGACUUUCGGCAUGCUAACAACCACAACCAUCAUCAUCAUCGCCAUUGCCACGCGUACCUGCUGCUCUGGGGAGACGCUGCCUCCUGUCAAACAGCAGAAGGACCCCGGUUUCGCCUGCAAUGCGAAGUUGCGUGUGUGUGUGUGUGUGUGUGUGUAAAUGUAUGUGACUGCAUCUGCUUGUGUACUUCUGUGUGUGUGUAUGCAUCCUGCUGUCUACAUAAUUCCCUCCCAGUCUCGGCUCACUCUUUGGCUUUGACUGUUCACUCCUCUUUCUCUUCCUUCACCUCACCCCUUGGUCUCCCUCCUCCUCCUCCAUCUCUCACUGUAUCACUCCAUAUAUUCAUGAAUUUCCUGUUUAUCAUGAAAACUUAUGCAUGAAAAUAGAGGGUGGGAUGGGGAAAAAAACAAAAACAACAACAACAAAAAAAGAAAAAAAAAACAAACAGAGUGAGUGUUGAUGUGGGGGGUGGGGGGUGGGAUGGUUUGUCUUGUCUGGGUGCAGCACUGCACCGGCAGCCUGGUCCUCAGGGGACGUAUGGAAGGAGACCCUGAUUCCAUCUCCCUUUUCAUUUCAUUUCCUUUCUUUCUCUCUUUCCUUCCAUCCACCCACCUACCGCCUUCAUUCUCUUCUUCCUAACAUUCCCCCCACCCCCUGCUUUAGCCCCCACCCCACCUACCCACUGCCUUUCUCUUCUCUUCUCCCGUCUCCCCUUCACAGUGUCAAAGCCAGUUACAGGCAGAGGAGCUCUCCUUCUUAAAUAAUUCACAAGUUGAUUAAUAGACUCACAAGGGUAUAAUUAGGCAGGGGAGAGACAGUGGCUAGUGUAACCAGUACAGUGCUUAGGGGAAUUAGAGAGCGGGGUUAUUGAGGAAAUGGAGAGUACCAGUAAAAAAAAAAAAGAAAAAAAGAGAGAGACAGAAAAGAAAAAAUAAAAAAAAUGUGCCGGCUCGGCUGCAGUGGUGGACUUGAGGAGGAGAUGAAGAGGCAGGGU
Molecule: long non-coding RNA, 1534 nt
Organism: Lates calcarifer (barramundi perch)
Lineage: Eukaryota; Metazoa; Chordata; Actinopteri; Centropomidae
Exons: 5
Source: RefSeq, a predicted model, not a curated record